This 524-nucleotide ribosomal RNA is filed under the name uncultured bacterium. Its description in RNAcentral is "partial 16S ribosomal RNA". It matches the Rfam family "Bacterial small subunit ribosomal RNA", at positions 28 to 523 of the family's 1533-position model. The record is from RNAcentral.
GACGAACGCUGGCGGCGUGCUUAACACAUGCAAGUCGAACGGACAGACAGAGAGCUUGCUCUCUUGAAGUUAGUGGCGAACGGGUGAGUAACGCGUAACCAACCUGCCCUUCAGAGGGGGAUAACAACGGGAAACCGUUGCUAAUACCGCGUACGAUUCAUGAACGGCAUCGUUUAUGAAUGAAAGGUGGCCUCUAUGUAUAAGCUAUCGCUGAAGGAGGGGCUUGCGUCUGAUUAGCUAGUUGGAGGGGUAACGGCCCACCAAGGCAAUGAUCAGUAGCCGGUCUGAGAGGAUGAACGGCCACAUUGGGACUGAGACACGGCCCAAACUCCUACGGGAGGCAGCAGUGGGGAAUCUUCCGCAAUGGACGAAAGUCUGACGGAGCAGCGCCGCGUGAGUGAUGAAGGUCUUCGGAUUGUAAAGCUCUGUUAAUCGGGACGAAAGAGUUCUGCGUGAAUAAUGCAGAAAAGUGACGGUACCGGAAUAGAAAGCCACGGCUAACUACGUGCCAGCCGCCGCGGUAA